GCCUGUGUAGCUCAGUGGUAGAGCAACUGACUUUUAAUCUGUGGGUCCCAGGUUCGAAUCCUGGUGCAGGCA
RNAcentral lists this transfer RNA (72 nucleotides) under Corynebacterium glutamicum. RNAcentral's name for it is "tRNA-Lys". It matches the Rfam family "tRNA". From Rfam's summary of the family: Transfer RNA (tRNA) molecules are approximately 80 nucleotides in length. Their secondary structure includes four short double-helical elements and three loops (D, anti-codon, and T loops). The record is from RNAcentral. Lineage: Bacteria; Bacillati; Actinomycetota; Actinomycetes; Mycobacteriales; Corynebacteriaceae. RNAcentral also lists the same sequence under 3 other names.